UACAGAGGGUGCGAGCGUUGUUCGGAAUCAUUGGGCGUAAAGCGCUUGUAGGCGGCCUGUCAAGUCGCGUGUGAAAUCCCUUGGCUUAACCAAGGAAGUGCGCGCGAAACUGGCGGGCUUGAGUGCCGGAGAGGGUCGCGGAAUUCCCGGUGUAGAGGUGAAAUUCGUAGAUAUCGGGAGGAACACCAGUGGCGAAGGCGGCGACCUGGACGGACACUGACGCUGAGACGCGAAAGCGUGGGGAGCAAACAGG
RNAcentral lists this ribosomal RNA (253 nucleotides) under uncultured bacterium. RNAcentral's name for it is "partial 16S ribosomal RNA". It matches the Rfam family "Bacterial small subunit ribosomal RNA", at positions 524 to 776 of the family's 1533-position model. The record is from RNAcentral.